GAUGAACGCUGGCGGCGUGCCUAAUACAUGCAAGUCGAGCGAACAGACGAGGAGCUUGCUCCUCUGACGUUAGCGGCGGACGGGUGAGUAACACGUGGAUAACCUACCUAUAAGACUGGGAUAACUUCGGGAAACCGGAGCUAAUACCGGAUAAUAUAUUGAACCGCAUGGUGCAAUAGUUAAAGACGGUUUUGCUGUCACUUAUAGAUGGAUCCGCGCCGCAUUAGCUAGUUGGUAAGGUAACGGCUUACCAAGGCUACGAUGCGUAGCCGACCUGAGAGGGUGAUCGGCUACCCUGGAAGUGAGACACGGUCCAGACUCCUACGGGAGGCAGCAGUAGGGAAUCUUCCGCAAUGGACGAAAGCCUGACGGAGCAACGCCGCGUGAGUGAUGAAGGUCUUCGGAUCGUAAAACUCUGUUAUUAGGGAAGAACAAAUGUGUAAGUAACUAUGCACGUCUUGACGGUACCUAAUCAGAAAGCCCCGGCUAACUACGUG
RNAcentral lists this ribosomal RNA (497 nucleotides) under uncultured bacterium. RNAcentral describes it as "partial 16S ribosomal RNA". It matches the Rfam family "Bacterial small subunit ribosomal RNA", at positions 28 to 507 of the family's 1533-position model. The record is from RNAcentral.